This 2484-nucleotide long non-coding RNA is filed under the name Sus scrofa (pig). RNAcentral describes it as "lncRNA (ENSSSCG00005046207.1)". The record is from RNAcentral. Lineage: Eukaryota; Metazoa; Chordata; Mammalia; Artiodactyla; Suidae.
ACCACUGCACACACAUACCAACACCACUGCACACACAUACCAACACACUGCUCAUCUGUUAUCAAUGCAGAUGAGACUCUAAACGUAACCAAAACAACAAAAAAAGUCUUAAAAAAAAUUUUUUUUUAAAUUUUUUAGGCCCACACCCAUGGUGUUUAGAAGUUCCCAGGCUAGGGGUUGAAUCAGAGCUACAGCUGCUGGCCUAUGUCAUAGCCAUAGCAACAGGGGAUCUGAGCCAUGUGACCUACACCACAGCUUGCAGCAUCGCUGGAUCCCCAACCCACUGAGCGAAGCCAGGUAUCAAACCCGCAUCCUCAUGGAUGCUAGUUGCCACUGUGCCACAAUGGAAACUCCACAAAGUCUUUUAAACCCCUCCGUGGGACUUUUGCUCUUUGAGGAAAACUGAGCCCUACCUAGAUGAUCUGCCUUUUCUCCAUCGACUAACCAUUGCUUUUGGAAUCGGGUACAUCCCACAGUACCUAUUCCUAGUCGUUUGCCAGUAGCCCAUGUGCUCCUUUUAGUUCCCACCUCUGUAGAUACAGUUGUAACAGUUAUAAGGGUGUCCUCCAUUCACUGUUUUUUUAUGUAGUACAGCAGCACUGGUUUCAGUCAGCCCAGGAAAAUGUGGGCACCCUAAGUUAACUAAACUAUUUUUGGGUUUCCAAGGACUGAAACUGAGUUUUCUUGGACUCAGCUCAAGAGAAUGAGGUGUGAGAGAGGUCCUGCUGUUGUUUAAUAUUAACUGAAAUUUCCCAAAGCUCUAAUAAACAUGAGAAUAACAUUGUGGCAUCAUCUUUAGCCUCUGGAGGCCUGGGAUGAGUCUUCAUGUGAAGCUACAGUGCUGGCUUCCCACAGAAGCAGAUCAACCGUUAAGGAACAUCACAGUAUCAGUGACUGGCUGGUAUGAUUGCACUUAGCAAGCAGAGAUUUUUCAGCAAGAUGAAGAGACAUCUUGCUCGCUGUUUUGGGCUCCUGAAGCAUAGAUUUAUCCCUACUUAAUGUACUCAUUAUAACCUGUCACCAUUUACUUGUUUGUUGAUGCUAUCAAUACCUGUUGAUUGUGGCCUGGUAUGUACCAGGCACAGAUUAGCCUCUUAAUAAAUGUUGAUAAAAUUUAUAAAUGGAACCUCUCUCAACCUGUAGAAUUCAGUGUGAGUAUGUGUAUGUAGAGGACAUUAGUGGAGGAUUUUUUUUAAAGCUAUCAUUGCAUAAGCUAAAUCUUAAAAGAUGAACAAGAGUCCCUACAAUGGAUAAAGGAAGAGGAAUUAUUCUAGAAGGAGGUAAAAACACACACAAAGGCAGAUGUGUAGAUCUACAGGGACUCUGUUGUGACUCAGAUAGGAUGAAACCAGACUGGGUGCAGGAGCAGGCAAGGAAACCCUGCUUUCACAUAGAAUUAUCAACCCAAAGAGUGGAUUGGAAAUGGUAUGCUUAAAAUGUUUAGAAGGAAAUAUGUCCUUGGAUUUCAGAAAUUAAAAAUAAACUGGCCCAGAGAACUGCAUUUUCUGAGGCCAGUGUGGUAGGCAGUCUCUGAGAUGGCUCCCACUGAGCCCUACUUCCUGAUAUUCAUGGCAUGGUAUACUCUCCUUCUCUUUAGUACCUUGCUUUUGUACUUGCCAAUAGAUUAUGGCAACGUUGAGGGGUAUCACCUUCCAUGAGUAGGUUACUUCCAUCUUGUUAGCCAACUCUCUCUAUUGCCUUCUUGGUAUGCAUGCUUUUAUGAAAUAAGCUGCCACAUUGGAGAGGCCCACAUGGCAAGCCUCUGAGGGUGGGCCAAUAAAAAACCAGUAAGGAAAAGAAGCUUUUGGUCCAGAAGAGCCCAAGGAAGUAAAUUUCUCCAAGUACCACUGAGUGAACUUGGAAGAACAUUCCCAGUUGAAACUUUGGCUGUGACUGCAGAUCCUGGCCUGACAACUUGAUUUGGCCUUGUAAGAGACAAAGAGGCAAAGGAUACAGGUAAGCUAUGUCUGGACUCUUGAUCCACAGAUACCAUGAGAUAAUAAAUAUGUGCUAUUGUAACUGGGUAAGUUUUGCGCUAAUUUGUUAUGCAGCAAUAGUAAUAGAGACAGGAAGUGAGGAAGCUCUUUAUAAAUUCCAAGGCUCUUGAUGUAUGCACUGCAGUUAACAAAAGCCUUAGACACAUUUCUGUGCUUCACCAGUUCUGUGGUGAAGUGUAUGUCACAUCCUUUCCCUUUUUAAAGUUGGGAUUUUUGGAGUUCCCAUCGUGGCACAGUGGAAACAAAUCUGACUAGGAACCACGAGGUCGUGGGUUCGAUCCUGGCCUUGCUCAGUGGGUUAAAAAAAAAAAUAAAUUUCAAUCCCUACUUCAUGGCGUUGCCAUGACCUGUGGUGUAGGUCACAGACUUGGCUUGGAUCUGGUGUUGCUGUGGCUGUGAUGUAGGCCAGCAGCUGUAGCUCUGAUUUAACCUCAUAUGCCAGGGGUAUGGCCCUAAAAAGACAAAAAAAAAAAAAAAAAAAAAAAAA